CUUCGGUAGGUCUUCGGCUGCCAUCUUGUGUGUGGCUGGGACUGGACCUCGGCUGCUGAAAGCUUACUUAGCGGCCCCAGGUGUAGAGGGGUCCUGAGGGAGCGGUGGAGGAGAGGUGGGCCCUGAAGGAACAGACCCGGCGCCUUCCCACUUGCCGGAAAGGGGUUUUUCCUGGCUGAGGCUCACGCUGGCUAAGUAGCGGAGGGGCUCCCAAGCUUGGUUUGUUCGUCAUGGUUGGGUUUGGCGGCGGCUCAGAUGCGGGAACCCUGCUGCCUUGGGUUCCAGCGAGCUAUUCCGAAAACAGAUGUCACGGAAAGAUGCCGUCAACCUCUGUUACGGAUGAAGUUGGCUGGUGAACUGCCUCAUUGGGGAAGUUGACAAGGCUGAGAAUUAAUGGAGGGAGAGGGAGUCACCACUCUCAAGUUCGAAGGAGACGUCUUCGUUUUAUACCUUUUGUGAGAAACUGGAUGCUAAAGUUAACUUUUCUCGGUAAUUAACCUCUGACCAAGGCCAUUCUUCGGUAGUAGUUUUAUUUAUUAGUGUGCAGCCAGAAUCCUGCAAUGGUCGUUUUUCAAAGCUGGAAAGUCGUGGUGUUUGCAGAAACAGUUGAAGUGAAGGAAGAAUUUGUCAAAUCUUGAUUUCCCUCGUUGCGACCCAGAUUCGUCGAAAACGUAGGAGACUUUGGGCCUGCCUUACACGAACAUUUGGAAGGCAUACAAGAAUACAAGAAGAAAAUAAUCACCAGUGAUCCAACUGAUAUUAACAUUUUGGUAUUCUUUCAUCUUCAAUUGGAAGGAAAUGUUUAUGUGAAAAACAAGAAUUCUCCGGUGAAUUGCUGCUGUGUGUCGCUCCUUUCCUUUCAUUGGUGC
This is a non-coding RNA of Manis javanica (Malayan pangolin), 869 nucleotides long. The record is from RefSeq and is a predicted model, not a curated record. Lineage: Eukaryota; Metazoa; Chordata; Mammalia; Pholidota; Manidae.